RNAcentral lists this small nucleolar RNA (73 nucleotides) under Pteropus vampyrus (large flying fox). RNAcentral describes it as "Small nucleolar RNA SNORD113/SNORD114 family (ENSPVAG00000027515.1)". It matches the Rfam family "Small nucleolar RNA SNORD113/SNORD114 family". Rfam says of the family: The imprinted human domain at 14q32 contains two clusters of tandemly repeated small nucleolar RNAs named 14q(I) and 14q(II) snoRNAs. These two clusters are named SNORD113 and SNORD114 respectively in the HGNC approved gene symbol nomenclature. The record is from RNAcentral. Lineage: Eukaryota; Metazoa; Chordata; Mammalia; Chiroptera; Pteropodidae.
UGGACCAUUGGUAACGACUGUGAUUCUGAGUUAAGGGUGAUGAAUAAUAUGUGUCUGGAUAUCUGAGGCCCAA